Molecule: non-coding RNA, 94 nt
Organism: Mycena polygramma
Lineage: Eukaryota; Fungi; Basidiomycota; Agaricomycetes; Agaricales; Mycenaceae
Source: the annotation of a GenBank genome assembly
GGCCCGGCGGCGGAUGGUCCGCGCCCGCUGUGCAUUGACGCGAUGUGUAGUAUUAUUUCUGCGGGAGACGCUCGUUCGAUUCGAGCCCGGGCCA